UGAGGAAUAUUGGUCAAUGGGGGGAACCCUGAACCAGCCAUCCCGCGUGCAGGAAGACAGUUCUAUGGAUUGUAAACUGCUUUUCUUGGGGAAGAAUAAUGACGACGUGUCGUCAGAUGACGGUACCCGAGGAAUAAGCAUAGGCUAACUCCGUGCCAGCAGCCGCGGUAAUACGGAGGAUGCAAGCGUUAUCCGGAUUUAUUAGGUUUAAAGGGUGUGUAGGCGGAUGUAUAAGUCAGUGGUGAAAGUCAGCAGCUUAACUUGAGAAUUGCCAUUGAUACUGUAUGUCUUGAGUUGGGUUGAGGUAUGCGGAAGGUGUAAUGUAGCGGUGAAAUGCAUAGAUAUUACACAGAACACCGAUUGCGAAGGCAGCAUGCUAAGCCACAACUGACGCUGAUGCACGAAAGCGUGGGGAUCAAACA
RNAcentral lists this ribosomal RNA (422 nucleotides) under uncultured prokaryote. Its description in RNAcentral is "bacterial SSU rRNA". It matches the Rfam family "Bacterial small subunit ribosomal RNA", at positions 355 to 774 of the family's 1533-position model. The record is from RNAcentral.